UUAAUUGAAGAGUUUGAUCAUGGCUCAGAUUGAACGCUGGCGGCAGGCUUAACACAUGCAAGUCGAGCGGUAGCACAAGGGAGCUUGCUCCCCGGGUGACGAGCGGCGGACGGGUGAGUAAUGUCUGGGAAACUGCCUGAUGGAGGGGGAUAACUACUGGAAACGGUAGCUAAUACCGCAUAACGUCGCAAGACCAAAGAGGGGG
Molecule: ribosomal RNA, 205 nt
Filed under: Serratia marcescens
Lineage: Bacteria; Pseudomonadati; Pseudomonadota; Gammaproteobacteria; Enterobacterales; Yersiniaceae
Description: partial 16S ribosomal RNA
Rfam family: Bacterial small subunit ribosomal RNA
Source: RNAcentral